This 68-nucleotide transfer RNA is filed under the name Taxidea taxus (American badger). RNAcentral describes it as "tRNA-Arg". It matches the Rfam family "tRNA". From Rfam's summary of the family: Transfer RNA (tRNA) molecules are approximately 80 nucleotides in length. The record is from RNAcentral. Lineage: Eukaryota; Metazoa; Chordata; Mammalia; Carnivora; Mustelidae.
UGAUAAUUAGUUUAAUAAAAACAAAUGAUUUCGACUCAUUAAAUUGUAAUUAACAUUACAAUUAUCAA